This 542-nucleotide ribosomal RNA is filed under the name Alteromonas sp. Its description in RNAcentral is "bacterial SSU rRNA". It matches the Rfam family "Bacterial small subunit ribosomal RNA", at positions 383 to 917 of the family's 1533-position model. The record is from RNAcentral. Lineage: Bacteria; Pseudomonadati; Pseudomonadota; Gammaproteobacteria; Alteromonadales; Alteromonadaceae.
CUGAUGCAGCCAUGCCGCGUGUGUGAAGAAGGCCUUCGGGUUGUAAAGCACUUUCAGUUGUGAGGAAAAGUUAGUAGUUAAUACCUGCUAGCCGUGACGUUAACAACAGAAGAAGCACCGGCUAACUCCGUGCCAGCAGCCGCGGUAAUACGGAGGGUGCGAGCGUUAAUCGGAAUUACUGGGCGUAAAGCGCACGCAGGCGGUUUGUUAAGCUAGAUGUGAAAGCCCCGGGCUCAACCUGGGAUGGUCAUUUAGAACUGGCAGACUAGAGUCUUGGAGAGGGGAGUGGAAUUCCAGGUGUAGCGGUGAAAUGCGUAGAUAUCUGGAGGAACAUCAGUGGCGAAGGCGACUCCCUGGCCAAAGACUGACGCUCAUGUGCGAAAGUGUGGGUAGCGAACAGGAUUAGAUACCCUGGUAGUCCACACCGUAAACGCUGUCUACUAGCUGUGUGUGUCUUUAAGACGUGCGUAGCGAAGCUAACGCGCUAAGUAGACCGCCUGGGGAGUACGGCCGCAAGGUUAAAACUCANNNNANUUGACGGA